UAUCUCUCCGUACGGGGAAGGAUGAGAAGCUUCGAAUAAGGUUCGAUUCGAGCGAAAGCGAGAAAGCGUUGCCGCAGGCAACG
Molecule: small RNA, 83 nt
Filed under: Salmonella enterica
Lineage: Bacteria; Pseudomonadati; Pseudomonadota; Gammaproteobacteria; Enterobacterales; Enterobacteriaceae
Description: partial RtT sRNA
Rfam family: RtT RNA
About the family: This family represents a bacterial cis-regulatory element known as RtT RNA.
Source: RNAcentral